This 253-nucleotide ribosomal RNA is filed under the name uncultured bacterium. Its description in RNAcentral is "partial 16S ribosomal RNA". It matches the Rfam family "Bacterial small subunit ribosomal RNA", at positions 524 to 776 of the family's 1533-position model. The record is from RNAcentral.
UACGUAGGGUGCAAGCGUUGUCCGGAAUUAUUGGGCGUAAAGAGCUUGUAGGCGGUCUGUCGCGUCUGCUGUGAAAACUCGGGGCUUAACCCCGGGCCUGCAGUGGGUACGGGCAGACUAGAGUGCGGUAGGGGAGACUGGAAUUCCUGGUGUAGCGGUGAAAUGCGCAGAUAUCAGGAGGAACACCGGUGGCGAAGGCGGGUCUCUGGGCCGUAACUGACGCUGAGGAGCGAAAGCAUGGGGAGCGAACAGG